GGGUAAGUGUGUUCAAGCCUGGGGAAUUGAGGACAUCUGGUCAUAUCCAGACAAAAUGUUUAAUCUGUGUAACUGGCAGUGGGCAGGGGUAACCCAGCUAGCCUGCCUUCCAAGUCAGGUCGGCUGCUCCUUGACUCUGCUUCUCAGGAGUGGUGCGCUGUGUUCCAUGGAUCUGAGGUGCCAUGUGCUGCUUUCUGCCCCCAGGAAAGAAGCAGACACUGAGGGAGAAUUUUAAAGACUUCAAAGAGCCCGAGUGGACUACCACAUCCCUGUAGCUGGCAGUCCUAUAGCUGGCGGUCCUACUUGUCCAGUAAGCUUACAAACAUUGGCUCCUCUCUGAAAAGGUCACCCUGCUUUUCAGACAGAAUUUGUGACUCUCGGCAGCUGGGAAUACUUUGGAACUGAAGAGAACCUAUUAGGAGAGAGAAAAAACAGAGUCAUUAUUAAGCCAAAAAAAAAAAAAAUGGAGAAAAGAUUCACCUCUAAAUUUUAUUUAAUGACAACAAAAACACACAACAUUUCUCUUUGAUUCAUAUAGUUAAUAAAUUCUACUUAUCGUUUGCAAUAA
This is a long non-coding RNA of Pan troglodytes (chimpanzee), 568 nucleotides long. RefSeq lists it as uncharacterized. Lineage: Eukaryota; Metazoa; Chordata; Mammalia; Primates; Hominidae. The record is from RefSeq and is a predicted model, not a curated record. The transcript is spliced from 2 exons.